AGCAAAGAAUGGACUCAUCUCUGAGAUCAUGAUUAAUGAUCACGAGACAGCUGGGACACUGGGAAAGGGCAGGAUGCGCGAUAUACCAACAAUUGGUGCUUUAAUUAAAGCCACAAACAUCCACGCGAGGAAUCUCAAAGGUUCGUGGUCGACUUCCCUCCGCAGACGGACGGCGCGAUUAGUGGAACGCGCCCAGAGACGCCGUUGGCAGCGUUACGGUUGACGUGGAUCCGCGCUGCCCGCGCCGCAGUUUCCACCGGACGCAGUUUGAGGCACGCGGCGCUUUUGUUUUUGCGCAGACAAAGCGCUUCGCGGCUGCGAGGCGCAAAGCGAUGACUGCGCGAGAGAGCGGCACUAAAGACAAAUGGGCUUCAACAAAGCCCAAAUAAGCUGGACGAGUCUGAUUCCACCAGGCUGCACGAUUAUGAUGCCAGAAAACAGGCUAAGCGGAUGAACCUGCUCUCACACAGGACGUCUGAUCUCUCUGUGAACCACUUGGACAGUGAUGCAGGCAACCCGAGGGAAAGACUGCAGCUGCGAGAUGGAGAAGCUGGAGAUGCUCCAGGAUCAGCAGAGAGGAAGCGUCAUAGCAUCACUUCAAUCCUGAACGAUUCUAUUCACAGUCGAUAUGAACAGGAGGAGUGAUUACACAAACAAGAACCUGCGUCAUAGCUCACAUACGUGUUUAACUGUAGUUAUGGAACAGACUUAUUCUGUAAGUGGCCACAUGCACUGUGUCACAAACGGUAACAGCUAAUAAGUUAUACCCAAGAGCAGAGAUGUCAAGUUGCUUGUCUAAGAAUUAGUAAGUACAGAAUGAAAAAUUACAGCAAGGCUGGAAAUACAAAAAUACUAAAUUUGGGAAAACUACAGCAGGAAGUAACAAUUGAAUUACAAAUGAUCCAAAGUCUGAACUAACAAAGUCAGUUCAAAAGCAAGAGAAGAGAAAAAAUUAAUAAGUUGGAAAACAGUAGAAAAAAAACAACGACCACAAAAAAAAACACUUGCAACUAGCAACAAGAUGCAAAUCAAUGAA
Betta splendens (Siamese fighting fish) is the source of this 1036-nucleotide long non-coding RNA. RefSeq lists it as uncharacterized. The record is from RefSeq and is a predicted model, not a curated record. Lineage: Eukaryota; Metazoa; Chordata; Actinopteri; Anabantiformes; Osphronemidae. The transcript is spliced from 3 exons.